Molecule: unclassified non-coding RNA, 278 nt
Filed under: uncultured fungus
Lineage: Eukaryota; Fungi
Description: sequence contains ITS2
Rfam family: 5.8S ribosomal RNA (bases 1-53)
Source: RNAcentral
AACGCACAUUGCGCCCGCUGGUUUUUCCAGCGGGCAUGCCUGUUCGAGCGUCAUUUCAAACCUCAAGCCCUGGCUGCUUGGUGUUGGGGCUUCAUUGCUGCGAAAACCGCAGGCCCCGAAUGCAAUCGGCGGGCCCGUCCGCGACCCCGAGCGUAGUAACAUUUUCGUCUCGCCCAGGGCUGUCCGGCGGGCAUGUCCGGCCGCUAAAAACAGCAACCUCUGGGUUCUAUUUUUCACAGUUUGACCUCGGAUCAGGUAGGAAUACCCGCUGAACUUAA